RNAcentral lists this ribosomal RNA (1495 nucleotides) under uncultured bacterium. RNAcentral describes it as "bacterial SSU rRNA". It matches the Rfam family "Bacterial small subunit ribosomal RNA". The record is from RNAcentral.
AGAGUUUGAUCAUGGCUCAGAUUGAACGCUGGCGGCAUGCCUUACACAUGCAAGUCGAACGGCAGCGCGGGGCAACCUGGCGGCGAGUGGCGAACGGGUGAGUAAUAUAUCGGAACGUACCCUGGAGUGGGGGAUAACGUAGCGAAAGUUACGCUAAUACCGCAUACGAUCUAAGGAUGAAAGUGGGGGAUUCGCAAGAACCUCAUGCUCCUGGAGCGGCCGAUAUCUGAUUAGCUAGUUGGUAGGGUAAAAGCCUACCAAGGCAUCGAUCAGUAGCUGGUCUGAGAGGACGACCAGCCACACUGGAACUGAGACACGGUCCAGACUCCUACGGGAGGCAGCAGUGGGGAAUUUUGGACAAUGGGCGCAAGCCUGAUCCAGCAAUGCCGCGUGAGUGAAGAAGGCCUUCGGGUUGUAAAGCUCUUUUGUCAGGGAAGAAACGGGUCUUUCUAAUACAGAGAUCUAAUGACGGUACCUGAAGAAUAAGCACCGGCUAACUACGUGCCAGCAGCCGCGGUAAUACGUAGGGUGCAAGCGUUAAUCGGAAUUACUGGGCGUAAAGCGUGCGCAGGCGGUUUUGUAAGACUGUCGUGAAAUCCCCGGGCUCAACCUGGGAAUGGCGAUGGUGACUGCAAGGCUAGAGUUUGGCAGAGGGGGGUAGAAUUCCACGUGUAGCAGUGAAAUGCGUAGAUAUGUGGAGGAACACCGAUGGCGAAGGCAGCCCCCUGGGUCAAAACUGACGCUCAUGCACGAAAGCGUGGGGAGCAAACAGGAUUAGAUACCCUGGUAGUCCACGCCCUAAACGAUGUCUACUAGUUGUCGGGUUUUAAUUAACUUGGUAACGCAGCUAACGCGUGAAGUAGACCGCCUGGGGAGUACGGUCGCAAGAUUAAAACUCAAAGGAAUUGACGGGGACCCGCACAAGCGGUGGAUGAUGUGGAUUAAUUCGAUGCAACGCGAAAAACCUUACCUACCCUUGACAUGGCAGAAAUCCUCGAGAGAUUGAGGAGUGCUCGAAAGAGAAUCUGCACGCAGGUGCUGCAUGGCUGUCGUCAGCUCGUGUCGUGAGAUGUUGGGUUAAGUCCCGCAACGAGCGCAACCCUUGUCAUUAGUUGCUACGAAAGAGCACUCCAAUGAGACUGCCGGUGACAAACCGGAGGAAGGUGGGGAUGACGUCAAGUCCUCAUGGCCCUUAUGGGUAGGGCUUCACACGUCAUACAAUGGUACAUACAGAGGGCCGCCAACCCGCGAGGGGGAGCUAAUCCCAGAAAGUGUAUCGUAGUCCGGAUUGUAGUCUGCAACUCGACUGCAUGAAGUUGGAAUCGCUAGUAAUCGCGGAUCAGCAUGUCGCGGUGAAUACGUUCCCGGGUCUUGUACACACCGCCCGUCACACCAUGGGAGCGGGUUUUACCAGAAGUAGGUAGCUUAACCGCAAGGAGGGCGCUUACCACGGUAGGAUUCGUGACUGGGGUGAAGUCGUAACAAGGUAACCGUA